CUCCCCGACAUUUGCAGGGAGUGGUGCAUUUCCAGGCAGCUGUGGUGGGGCCAUCGCAUCCCAGCCUACUUUGUCACUGUCAGUGACCCAGCGGUGCCCCCUGGGGAGGUGAGCAGAGGGCCAGAGCUAGCUGCUGGGACACCCUGCUGGAGUGGACCCUGAUGGGCGGUACUGGGUGAGUGGACGCAAUGAGGCGGAGGCCCGGGAGAAGGCAGCCAAGGAGUUCGGAGUGUCCCCUGACAAGAUCAGUCUCCAGCAAGAUGAGGAUGUAUUGGAUACCUGGUUCUCCUCUGGCCUCUUCCCCUUAUCCAUUUUGGGCUGGCCCAACCAGUCAGAAGACCUGAGUGUGUUCUACCCCGGGACACUGCUGGAGACCGGUCAUGACAUCCUCUUCUUCUGGGUGGCCCGGAUGGUCAUGCUGGGCCUGAAGCUCACGGGCAGGCUGCCCUUUAGAGAGGUCUACCUCCAUGCCAUCGUGCGAGAUGCUCACGGCCGGAAGAUGAGCAAGUCUCUAGGCAAUGUCAUCGAUCCCCUGGACGUCAUCUAUGGAAUCUCCCUGCAGGGCCUCCACAACCAGCUGCUGAACAGCAACCUGGAUCCCAGCGAGGUGGAGAAGGCCAAAGAAGGGCAGAAAGCUGACUUCCCAGCGGGGAUUCCUGAAUGUGGCACCGAUGCUCUCCGGUUUGGAUUAUGUGCCUACAUGUCCCAGGGUCGUGACAUCAACCUGG
RNAcentral lists this unclassified non-coding RNA (728 nucleotides) under Homo sapiens (human). Its description in RNAcentral is "valyl-tRNA synthetase 1 (multiple genes)". The record is from RNAcentral. Lineage: Eukaryota; Metazoa; Chordata; Mammalia; Primates; Hominidae.